UACGGAGGGUGCAAGCGUUAAUCGGAAUUACUGGGCGUAAAGCGCGCGUAGGCGGUUACAUAAGUUGGAGGUGAAAGCCCAGGGCUCAACCUUGGAAUUGCUUUCAAAACUGUGUGACUUGAGUACAGCAGAGGAUAGUGGAAUUUCUAGUGUAGCGGUGAAAUGCGUAGAUAUUAGAAGGAACACCAGUGGCGAAGGCGACUGUCUGGGCUGAUACUGACGCUGAGGUGCGAAAGCGUGGGGAGCAAACAGG
Molecule: ribosomal RNA, 253 nt
Filed under: uncultured Teredinibacter sp.
Lineage: Bacteria; Pseudomonadati; Pseudomonadota; Gammaproteobacteria; Cellvibrionales; Cellvibrionaceae
Description: partial 16S ribosomal RNA
Rfam family: Bacterial small subunit ribosomal RNA
Source: RNAcentral